This is a long non-coding RNA of Theobroma umbraticum, 307 nucleotides long. RefSeq lists it as uncharacterized. NCBI's taxonomy places the organism in Eukaryota, Viridiplantae, Streptophyta, Magnoliopsida, Malvales, Malvaceae. The record is from RefSeq and is a predicted model, not a curated record.
UUUCUAUUCUUUUGCAAUUAUAAAUUGGCUUAGAGUUUAUUUUGAAGAUUAUUGAUUUUAUUUUUUGUUGUGGAGUUUUCGGAAGAUUAAUGAACUGAACAAUCACUUUGAGAAGUGCCAGCAGCUUUUGAACUCGAUUGCGGCAUCAAUUAACACCAAAGCUAUGACUGUUGAAGGACAGAAGCGAAAGCUGGAGGAGAGUGAACAACUACUAAAUCAAAGGAGGGAUCUGAUUGCCAACUAUAGAUUCUCUGUCGAAGACCUUGUGAAGGCUGAGCCCUAGUUACUUCUCAUUCAAACAAAGCAC